GGCGGGGUAGCUCAGCUGGUUAGAGCAUACGGCUCAUACCCGUAGUGUCGGAGGUUCAAGUCCUCUCCCCGCUACCA
RNAcentral lists this transfer RNA (77 nucleotides) under Candidatus Omnitrophota bacterium. RNAcentral describes it as "Candidatus Omnitrophica bacterium (sediment metagenome) tRNA-Met". It matches the Rfam family "tRNA". From Rfam's summary of the family: Transfer RNA (tRNA) molecules are approximately 80 nucleotides in length. Lineage: Bacteria; Pseudomonadati; Candidatus Omnitrophota. The record is from RNAcentral.